UAAACCCUAUCUACCCUCAAUCUCAAUCUUACUCUCUCUUCUUCUUUUCCUCAAACCCAACCAGCCCUAGCCGCCAGCCCCAAUUUUCUUCCUCAAACUCAACCAUCCUUCCUCUAUCCCUCUUUGACGGUGUGCAUGGAGGUCUUCGCGCGCAGGCGAGGUGGGUGGCCGAUGGUCGGAUCACGGCGGCGGGCUCGAUGCAGAGGCAGGGGGCUCGGCUCUCUGACUCCUUCAUACUCCCAUCUCUCGCUUGGGCUGGGCUCCACGACGGCUGGAGGUUCAAGGGCUUGGCAGCGACUGAGGGCUCAGGGGGUGGGCUCGACGGCGAGUGGGGUUCUCCAGGUUGGCUGGGCUCGACGACGCGAGGGUCUCGGGGGUUGGGAUAGACCACGCAAGGACGGGGCUGGCUGGACGGCACAUGGUAGCGUGGGUUCACAGGCUUAAACAUAGCAGGAUUACAAGAAGAACGAAUACAUGGAGGCAGAAAUGCAAUGUUCAAAUGCUUUACAAAGCAUGGAAAGGACGCUUAGCACAGCUUGCAAUGCUACGAAUGCUAAGUUCGACAAUGUUGUGAAGGUAAGCAUUUUCGGUCCUUGAUGGUCUUGUAUCAGAGUAUGAAAAAUCAAGUCAUGGUCCAGGAAAAUGGCAGAAGCUAGCUAUGUUCUUACAAAAAAGUUUGGAAGGUCCACUACUUGAUCUCACCAAGAGAUUAAUUGACCAAGUUGGAUUAGAGAAAAAUACACUUCUGUUAAAAUGUCGGUCAAUCAAAGAUAGGUUGGCGUUACUUAACAAGCAGCUGGAAGCAAGUGAUAAGUCAAAGUCUGAAUAUCUGAAGCGUUAUGAGGAAUCUAUCGAUGAGAAGAAGCAGCUAGCUGAUGAAUAUAUGGCUCGUAUAGCAAACUUACAGAGUGAUUGCAGUUCACUGGGUGAGAGGUAGUUUAGCUUGUUGAAGGCAUUGGAUACCGCCAAGCAAGAAUCUAUGGACUGGCAAAGAAAAUACGAGUAAAUCUGAUGAAAUAUAUUUUGAUUAUGUUUGCUAUAUAAUUUUUGUCUCUAUAAUAUGUAAAUUUGGUUUAUUUUUUGAUUGUUGACCGUUGUUGGUGUAAUAAAUUUAUAAAAUUGUUGAAUAAAAAAGUUUAUAAGUUUAUUUCUUUUA
This is an RNA transcript of Humulus lupulus (European hop), 1156 nucleotides long. RefSeq lists it as uncharacterized. The record is from RefSeq and is a predicted model, not a curated record. The transcript has 4 exons. Lineage: Eukaryota; Viridiplantae; Streptophyta; Magnoliopsida; Rosales; Cannabaceae.